Molecule: ribosomal RNA, 568 nt
Filed under: uncultured bacterium
Lineage: Bacteria
Description: bacterial SSU rRNA
Rfam family: Bacterial small subunit ribosomal RNA
Source: RNAcentral
UACGGGAGGCAGCANUGGGGAAUUUUCCGCAAUGGGCGAAAGCCUGACGGAGCAAUACCGCGUGAGGGAGNAAGGCUCUUGGGUUGUAAACCUCUUUUCUCAGGGAAGAACACAAUGACNGGUACCUGAGGAAUCAGCAUCNGGCCUAACUCCGUGCCAGCAGCCGCGGUAAUACGGAGGAUGCAAGCGUUAUCCGGAAUGAUUGGGCGUAAAGCGUCCGCAGGUGGCCUUAUCAAGUCGAUUGUCAAAUGUCCUGGCUCAACUGGGAAGAGGCAGUGGAAACUGAAAAGCUAGAGUGCGGUAGGGGUAGAGGGAAUUCCCGGUGUAGCGGUGAAAUGCGUAGAGAUCGGGAAGAACACCAGUGGCGAAAGCGCUCUACUAGGCCUGCACUGACACUCAUGGACGAAAGCUAGGGGAGCGAAUGGGAUUAGAUACCCCAGUAGUCCUAGCCGUAAACGAUGGAUACUAGGCGUUGAGAGGUAUCGACCCUCUCAGUGCCGUAGCUAACGCGUUAAGUAUCCCGCCUGGGGAGUACGCACGCAAGUGUGAAACUCAAAGAAAUUGACGG